Gordionus sp. m RMFG-2023 is the source of this 354-nucleotide long non-coding RNA. RefSeq lists it as uncharacterized. The record is from RefSeq and is a predicted model, not a curated record. Lineage: Eukaryota; Metazoa; Nematomorpha; Gordioida; Chordodea; Parachordodidae. The transcript is spliced from 3 exons.
AUUUACAAGAACAAAGUUUGGGGAUUAUUAGCUCAAGAGUAUAAGACGACUGUAACAUCUCUCAAAUCUCUCUGGAAAAAUUUGAGAGAUUGUUUCAUAAAAGAGAGACAUAAAUUAAUUAAAUUGAAAAGUGGGUCAGGGGCUGACCAUCAAAUCACCUGGCCUUUCUAUCAUGAUAUGCUAUUCAUGGUAGAAACCAUCACACCUAGGUCUCAACAGUCCUCUUUAGAUAUAAAGGACUCUAGUUCUAUAGAGGUUCAUGAUAUUUUUAAUGAAAUGACAGGGGAGAAUGAUUGUGAUUUCAUUGAUACUGACAAUACAUCAGAUGUUACAGUUAUUAAUAAAGAUUCUGUA